CACGGAGGGUGCGAGCGUUGUCCGGAAUCAUUGGGCGUAAAGGGCGCGUAGGUGGCCCGGUCAGUUCGUGGUGAAAGCGCGGGGCUCAACCCUGCGUCGGCCAUGAAUACUGCCGCGGCUGGAGCACUGUAGAGGCAGGCGGAAUUCCGGGUGUAGCGGUGGAAUGCGUAGAGAUCCGGAAGAACACCGGUGGCGAAGGCGGCCUGCUGGGCAGUUGCUGACACUGAGGCGCGACAGCGUGGGGAGCAAACAGG
This 254-nucleotide ribosomal RNA is filed under the name uncultured bacterium. Its description in RNAcentral is "partial 16S ribosomal RNA". It matches the Rfam family "Bacterial small subunit ribosomal RNA", at positions 524 to 776 of the family's 1533-position model. The record is from RNAcentral.